ACAUCCGCACACGGGGACCGAGCCCGAUAUGUCACAGUCUUGUUAAAAGAAGAAUCCUCAGAGAUGUGGAGGAGGGACACCCAGAAAUUAUCCAGCUUUAUAGAGAACUGGACUACUGGUGUAUUCGUGAAGUGUCUGCAAGUGGAUAGAGCUGCUGCUGCUAACCUGUGAACUGAACUGCUGAUUUCCAGACAACACAGACAUAAGUUGCUCCAAAGAACCUUUUAAAACAGAUCCACUUCCCCCAUAUCCUUUCUUUUCCACUAGCUCUGGUGGGUGGUGGGCUAGAAGAGAGGUUAAAAUGUUUAAGUAUCAUCAUUGAAAAUAGGCUUUGAAAAAAAUUCAAGUUACAGCUGUACACCUGAAAGUAAUUCCAAGAAUUUAUUGUCUCACCAAGAUAAACUUGGAUGAGGAGGUUUUUGUUGUUGUUUUUGGUGUGUGUGUGUGUGUGUGUGUGUGUGUGUGUGUGUUUGGCUCAUUUAUCAGUUCAUUAUCUGGUAGAAAUGGAUGUUUUUACAUAUCUCCUCAAGAAGUCACACUACCCUUGGAUAGAGUAUAAGUAUACUCACUGAGUUGAUCUAUUUCAGUGAAUGUAUGUUGUAGCUGGCCUUUGCUACUUUGUGGGUUUUUCUUUUUCCCACCCUAUAUCCCCCUGGUUUCACCCCCUAUCACUAGAUAGGAGAGAUAAAAGGAUAGAGAAGAGAAGAGAAGAGAAGAGAAGAGAAGAGAAGAGAAGAGAAGAGAAGAGAGAGAUAUUUGUGAAUCUAAUUUCUUUCCUCUUGCUUCUUCUUUGCUUCUAGCUGGUCUUUGCUAUUUUGCGUAUUCUUUUUGUCCUACCCUGAAUCUAACUUGUUUCUUCUUUGAGCAUGACUGCUAGCAAACCACAACCUUCCCCCCUGAAUGACCAAUAAUCACCAAAUCUGCCUCUUGGGGUCCUAGUACUUAACAUAACUUCUGAAAAGUUUUGCAGCUGGUAAAAUCACACCUUAGCUAGAGCAUGAGGCAAAUCAUAGUUAGAUACUGCAAAGAAGCCCCAUAUCCCCACACUUGAGAUUAAAAUGAAGACAUAUUCUUAUAAUAUUUCUGUGUUUUUUUAAAACAGAAAUCAAAAUUCCAGAAUUGUCUCUACAGUAUGUAGAGCAAAAUCAGCCCAUGCAAAUAGAUACAAGUGCUAAGUGCUGACAAGAGGGCUCAUCGGGGAAAGGCAUUUGCUAUCAGCCUGAGGACUUAAGCUUGUUCCCUGGGGGCGCAUAAGGUGAAGGGAGAGAACUGACCCCCCAUGAUUUCCAUAUGCACUGUGGCAUUUGUGUGCCUCCCUUAUUCAAUAAAUAAAAUGUAAUAAAUACAAAAGCAAAAAGAGAGGGACAGGGACAAAGUCACUUCCUGCUCAGAGCUCACAACACAUCCUCAGGUCCUGAAGAUAUUGUGGAUAUUACAGCGUCAUUAUCUUUGUCUAAAAUCUUAGUACUUUAGUUUCUUUCUUUCAAGUGGUAUUAUGGAUUGCAAUUGCCCGGUUCCCUAGUCUCAGAUUCUAAGUGUUUUGGGGAUUCAGGCGGCACAGGGUUUGUACUAUGUUGACUGUCUUUUGCUCUUUCAGCUAGUUCAUUUCUUUUUUCCUUGGG
RNAcentral lists this long non-coding RNA (1622 nucleotides) under Mus musculus (house mouse). RNAcentral's name for it is "predicted gene, 37065". Lineage: Eukaryota; Metazoa; Chordata; Mammalia; Rodentia; Muridae. The record is from RNAcentral.